CCUACGGGGGGCAGCAGUGGGGAAUAUUGCGCAAUGGGCGAAAGCCUGACGCAGCGACGCCGCGUGUGGGAUGAAGGUCUUCGGAUCGUAAACCUCUGUCAGCAGGGAAGAACGGUCACUGUGCUAAUCAGCAGUGAAUUGACGGUACCUGCAAAGGAAGCACCGGCUAACUCCGUGCCAGCAGCCGCGGUAAUACGGAGGGUGCGAGCGUUAAUCGGAAUUACUGGGUGUAAAGCGCUCGUAGGCGGUAUGUCAAGUCAAGGGUGAAAUCCCCGCGCUCAACGUGGGAACUGCCUUUGAAACUGGCAAACUGGAGUGUGUGAGAGGAUAGUGGAAUUCCAGGUGUAGGAGUGAAAUGCGUAGAUAUCUGGAGGAACAUCAGUGGCGAAGGCGACUAUCUGGCACAUAACUGACGCUGAGGAGCGAAAGCGUGGGUAGCAAACAGGAUUAGAUACCCCUGUAGUC
RNAcentral lists this ribosomal RNA (465 nucleotides) under uncultured bacterium. Its description in RNAcentral is "partial 16S ribosomal RNA". It matches the Rfam family "Bacterial small subunit ribosomal RNA", at positions 338 to 795 of the family's 1533-position model. The record is from RNAcentral.